RNAcentral lists this long non-coding RNA (500 nucleotides) under Citrus x clementina. RNAcentral describes it as "Citrus clementina (C. clementina) long non-coding RNA (CCLE_LNC003598)". Lineage: Eukaryota; Viridiplantae; Streptophyta; Magnoliopsida; Sapindales; Rutaceae. The record is from RNAcentral.
AUAAUAAUUUUAAAAAAAUUAAUAAAGAUAUAAUAGAAUUUUUAAAUACAAGUGGACAAUCAAAUUAGUUUAGUUUUUAAACUACAACAGGUAAUGCUUACGAAAAACUUUAAUAAUUUAGCUUUUAAGGUACAACUACUCAACUUUAAUCUCAAAUUAACCCUAAAUUGCUAUUAUAUUGUAAAUGCAAUAAUAUUCUCUUGAAUUAUCAUAAACAUCAUAUAAACUUUAGUCGAAAGUACUUAAAAAAGAAGAAGAAGAAGAUAACCUUCCAAAAAGACCCCCACAGCAAACAAUUAUGCAAGGAUAUUGACUAUUCUGCUAUGUCAAGGCCGCAUUCUCGACCAAUGAUUGCAGUAAUCGCAGUGGGCUGGUAAAGCCCAUUUGUAGUCAUUGGGGUGUUUGGGCUGUUGGGCCUCCAGAAUCAAUAAAUCGUAGAGUGUAGUCGGAUCCCACUUGAGGCUGUGAUUUUUUUUUUUAAUUAUUCGGAAUAAUUCUUU